AGUGAACGCUGGCGGUAGGCCUAACACAUGCAAGUCGAACGGCAGCACAGUGAGAGCUUGCUCUUACGGGUGGCGAGUGGCGGACGGGAGAGGAAUAUAUCGGAACCUACUUUUUCGUGUGGGAUAACGUAGGGAAACCUAAGAUAAUACAGCAUACGACCUACGGGUGAAGGCGUGGGAUAUUCGGCCCUUGCGGGAUUGGAUGAGCCGCUGUCGAAUUAGCUAGUUGGCGGGGUAACGGCCCACCAAGUCGACGAGGCGUAGCUGGUCUGAGAGGAUGGUCACCGACACUGGAACUUCGACUCGGUCCAGUGUCCUACGGUAGGCAGCAGUGGGGAAUAUUCGACAAUGGGCGCAAGCCUUAUCCAGUCAUACCAAGUGUGUCAAGAAAGCCUGCGGGGCGGAAAGCCCUGUUUCUGGUUGAGAAAGGCAGUAGGCUAAUACCCCGCCAUCCUGACGGUACCCAGUGAAUAAGCCCCGGCUAACUGCGUG
This 492-nucleotide ribosomal RNA is filed under the name uncultured bacterium. RNAcentral describes it as "partial 16S ribosomal RNA". It matches the Rfam family "Bacterial small subunit ribosomal RNA", at positions 29 to 507 of the family's 1533-position model. The record is from RNAcentral.